GAUGAACGCUGGCGGCGUGCCUAAUACAUGCAAGUCGAGCGAACGGACGAGAAGCUUGCUUCUCUGAUGUUAGCGGCGGACGGGUGAGUAACACGUGGAUAACCUACCUAUAAGACUGGGAUAACUUCGGGAAACCGGAGCUAAUACCGGAUAAUAUUUUGAACCGCAUGGUUCAAAAGUGAAAGACGGUCUUGCUGUCACUUAUAGAUGGAUCCGCGCUGCAUUAGCUAGUUGGUAAGGUAACGGCUUACCAAGGCAACGAUGCAUAGCCGACCUGAGAGGGUGAUCGGCCACACUGGAACUGAGACACGGUCCAGACUCCUACGGGAGGCAGCAGUAGGGAAUCUUCCGCAAAGGGCGAAAGCCUGACGGAGCAAUGCCGCGUGAGUGAUGAAGGUCUUCGGAUCGUAAAACUCUGUUAUUAGGGAAGAACAUAUGUGUAAGUAACUGUGCACAUCUUGACGGUACCUAAUCAGAAAGCCACGGCUAACUACGUG
This 497-nucleotide ribosomal RNA is filed under the name uncultured bacterium. Its description in RNAcentral is "partial 16S ribosomal RNA". It matches the Rfam family "Bacterial small subunit ribosomal RNA", at positions 28 to 507 of the family's 1533-position model. The record is from RNAcentral.